Non-coding RNA from Macaca mulatta (Rhesus monkey), 805 nucleotides. NCBI's taxonomy places the organism in Eukaryota, Metazoa, Chordata, Mammalia, Primates, Cercopithecidae. The record is from RefSeq and is a predicted model, not a curated record.
CCCAGCUGGCUUCACCUCUCACUGGAACUCCUGUGGGACUUUGCAGUACAUAACCUGGGCUCUCCCGCAACCCAGAGGGAGCUGUCCCAGACAACCAAGAGGAAAAGAGAGGAAGGGAGAAAGAGAGGGAGACCCGCCAGGGUGACCAGCAAUCCCACAAAGAGGGAACUGUGGUCCACGCACAGAAAUCAGCCUCCGAUCAAGGUCAGCCGGUGCUGGUCGGCUAUGCCAAGUGGAGGGCUUGCGGAGCCCAUGCUUAGGCGGAACCCGCGUGGGCCGAAUCUUCUUCUACACCCCUGAAAACCAUCCUUUGGAUCCCUUAGAAGAUACAUCAGGACAGGCUCACAUCUCUAAAUCAUGGACAAUCUGUGAAUUUCAGAAGACAUUCUGACAAGGAUAAAGAAAAGAGAAUUGCUGUUAUUCUCAAUGAGUUUAAGAGUUGCUCCGACAUCAGAGAUAGCAAGCAUGUUUUAAUUUUACUAUAUUUACCAAACAGCAAAACAACAAAGAAGAAAACUAAAACUUAAAGAAAAAAUGGAUGGAGAGUUUACAAUCAAUUAAUCCUAACUAAACAAGUGUUUUGAAAGAUAGGUGGUCAGUCCAAUCUAUUAAAAAAGGGGUGGUAGUCCAUUUGAAAAUUUUCAUGGAGUAAUGUCAAAGAGCAUAUGAUAACAGUAAAGAGUAAUCACAUGGUUAGGCUUGGUAGUAGUAACUUGGAAUUCAAAUUUCUGGGAGAGUACAGUACUUUAUCUGGAAGAUAACGUAAUAAUUUAAGCUACUGUAAUUUAUGAAAAUAAAAAAGUAA